CAUUUAUGAUCCUCCGUUCUAACUUUUCUUAAGGGUAGUUAAACCCCCCCGAGGACGGGGGUUCCCGAGAAAUUCGAACGUCGGCGCCAUCUGCGAGACUUUACCGUAAGCUUCUACGUCAACUGUCUACUUCGCGUUAUAGGUAUAUCUGUAUGUAUUACUUACGAAAGUAGUAAAGUUUCCCUAAGCCGAAUUCACAACGAUUGAAAGCACUCUCGAUGGGAGUACACUUGUGGAGAAGUGACUGCAGAGCACGACGCGUGACGCACAAUCGACGCGUUGAUACGACGCCGCACGCUGUUGGAACGACGUUUACUAGGUCCUAUCUGCGUUUAUUUGACUAUUCUCAAGGAGCGACAGGAUCCAUGAGGAUCGACGGCGACGUAAAUGAGUGACGAUAGCUAUCCUGCCCGCUUGGAAACUUGGUGAAUUACGGGACUAUCGGUACGCUUUCUAAGUGGUGAAAGUGCUCGGAGUUCAAAAUACCGAUUUUUCUACGAAGCUCAUGAUAAUCAAGGGUCCUGGGAAUAAGGACAGGGUGAAAGGUACCGCUGGCUACGUCACUGGGCUCGGUCAAUGCAUCAAUCCAAGCUGCAUCUGUAUGUAUUUACGGGACCCCUAUAUGACAUCAUCCCUCUCCCGUUGGUCCCGUUCGUUUCGCUGGGUGACUUCUGUCGCCUAACUCCAAACACCCCAACCCCGACUGCCACCUCCCUUUACCUUUAAUCUUUAUCAAUCCAUCCAGCCGGGCAUCCUCGCCGCCCGUAGAACGAAUGGACGGACGCACGAAUCGACGCACCGACGCACAGACGGAUCGACGGACGGACGCCACCGCGCAUUAUUCACGGGCGAUAGCGUCCCUGCUACCGCGACGGCGACGGCGACGCCAACCUCGACUUAUUCCCACCCCCAGUUAUACUAGUCCCCUUAUACUAGUCCACGUUUUACUCGAGCUACACAGACGCCCCUAUUUCUUCAACCACGAUUUCGAAUCGUCCCUCGACUUAUAGUAAAUUAAAAUUUCACGUUUUAUUUUAUUUUACAUUCAAAAUUUUUUAGGAAAAAAUUUUUAGGUCAACUUUUUUUAUAUAUGCCAACCGAGGUUACCGAAAUGCGCAGAACUUAUUCUGUUUGCGUUCCAAUGAUGCUGCCAACUGACAGGGCACACGGGAUUUCAAAAGUAAACGGAUUCGUGGACUUUUCUGAAGUUGAAGUUUAAUGCCGGCAAGUGCUUCGUGCUGAGGCGUCUUCAAGUUGAGGAUUUGCCCAAGCGAAGACACGAAGUUACGGAAGAAUGUCCGGAGUUACUUUACGCAGAAUUUAACGGUUAUUGAGACACAGUGCGCAUGCGCGGAUAUCAUAUGAUUUACGAACGCUUUGUUUUAUAGUCUUGUUAGGUAUACCUGAAGCCUGAGAAACCGUAACACGUGUUAUGGCUCAUAACCAUAGUUACAUUUUGUUCAGUGCUACCAUUUUCAGUUCUGCUUCAACCCCUCUGCAACUUUGUUGCUAUUAACGACCGUUUGUGCCAGUGGAUCCCUUGGGAUUUGCAAUACGACUUUUCCCAUUGUUAUUCUGCCAUCUGUCUGUCCUUGCGACUUUAAUCGUUAUAUCGUUACACAAAAAAUGUCCAAUGCUCCCUUGUCACCUGUACAGCGCGUAUCAAAAAAUGUAUCAAAAAUUGUACAAAAUUUAAAAGUCUAUCGAAUUAACUUUUUAUUGUAAUAUAACGUAGAGAAUAUUUUAAUAGACGUAAAAAUAAUGCUUUUUUUUUUCAUAAAUAUAUUAUUAUCUAAUUGUAUUGUAUUGUGGUAUCUAUGCGUUGCUUAGGCAAUACUUUGUUCCAUUAAAGUUUCGUGCUACAGACCCAAGUAGAAGGUCAAUGCUGAUUCCAGUUGAUAUUUAUCAUAAGUCCAACAUGAUUAGUUCCCAGUACCCUGAAGUUUCUGAGUAGCUCGCAGCAGCGCAACCGUACAAAAAAUGAAAGAUUCCAGUAGCAUCUUAUACGGACCUACUCUUACCCAGUCCACGUUCUCAACACAGUAGGUAUAAUAAUAUUUAAAUGUUGAGUAAGAAGGGAAUUAAAAAAAUAGUCUCGUUACCUAGCUUUAGGUUAUCCAAAAUUAAUUGUCGACCAUUUAAAAGAAAAUGUUGAUAAGUUCCUUCAGAGCGAUCCAUAGUUAAAAUUUUCAACUGAAUGAUCUGCCAUCUGGCGGCUAAAGCGGAAUGACAGUCACUGGCUAAGCGACCACGUAAUAUAGGGCUGGACAAUUUCUAGGUUUAAUUUGCUUGAGCCCAUAGGGUGCCAGUACUCCUAAAAGGAUAGAUGGUGGUAGGUAAUCUAGGACGGUCCGAUGACGUAGCGCACACACCUGAGGCGUGGGUGUAGAAGGUUGUAGGUAGCCAAGCAGUAAGGUUAGGCAGGCAGACAGGUGGGAGGAGCCAGAACUGUUGGCUACCUCUACCGACGCCACACCUACUAUUGAUCAUUCUCCAUUAUUUCCUUACCUGGGUUGUUGAUUAAACGCAACUUCCAAGACAGUGAAACCUUUUUGGCCUGUUCCACCUCCUUGUCAACCUGCCGCACCCACUUGGACCGGGUCCUCCUCCGUGAGGUUGCCCGGCAUGUCGCUGGUCUAUGGGGAA
Molecule: long non-coding RNA, 2646 nt
Organism: Cephus cinctus (wheat stem sawfly)
Lineage: Eukaryota; Metazoa; Arthropoda; Insecta; Hymenoptera; Cephidae
Exons: 3
Source: RefSeq, a predicted model, not a curated record